UAGGGAAUCUUCCGCAAUGGACGCAAGUCUGACGGAGCAACGCCGCGUGAGUGAAGAAGGAUUUCGGUUCGUAAAACUCUGUUGUUAGAGAAGAACAGCGCAUAGAGUAACUGUUAUGCGUGUGACGGUAUCUAACCAGAAAGCCACGGCUAACUACGUGCCAGCAGCCGCGGUAAUACGUAGGUGGCAAGCGUUGUCCGGAUUUAUUGGGCGUAAAGCGAGCGCAGGCGGUCAAUUAAGUCUGAUGUGAAAGCCCCCGGCUCAACCGGGGAGGGUCAUUGGAAACUGGUUGACUUGAGUGCAGAAGAGGGGAGUGGAAUUCCAUGUGUAGCGGUGAAAUGCGUAGAUAUAUGAAGGAACACCAGUGGCGAAGGCGACUCGCUGGUCUGUAACUGACGCUGAGGUUCGAAAGCGUGGGUAGCAAACAGG
RNAcentral lists this ribosomal RNA (429 nucleotides) under Bacteroidota bacterium. RNAcentral's name for it is "Bacteroidetes bacterium partial 16S ribosomal RNA". It matches the Rfam family "Bacterial small subunit ribosomal RNA", at positions 355 to 776 of the family's 1533-position model. The record is from RNAcentral. Lineage: Bacteria; Pseudomonadati; Bacteroidota.